CGUAGGGUGCGAGCGUUAAUCGGAAUUACUGGGCGUAAAGCGUGCGCAGGCGGUUUAGUAAGACAGGCGUGAAAUCCCCGGGCUCAACCUGGGAACUGCGCUUGUGACUGCUAAGCUAGAGUACAGCAGAGGGGGGUGGAAUUCCACGUGUAGCAGUGAAAUGCGUAGAGGUGUGGAGGAACACCAAUGGCGAAGGCAGCCCCCUGGGUCGAUACUGACGCUCAUGCACGAAAGCGUGGGUAGCAAACAGGAUUAGAUACCCUGGUAGUCCACGCCCUAAACGAUGUCAACUAGGUGUUGGGAGGGUAAAACCUUUUAGUACCGGAGCUAACGCGUGAAGUUGACCGCCUGGGGAGUACGGCCGCAAGGUUA
RNAcentral lists this ribosomal RNA (372 nucleotides) under uncultured organism. RNAcentral describes it as "bacterial SSU rRNA". It matches the Rfam family "Bacterial small subunit ribosomal RNA", at positions 526 to 896 of the family's 1533-position model. The record is from RNAcentral.